Molecule: long non-coding RNA, 804 nt
Organism: Carassius gibelio (silver crucian carp)
Lineage: Eukaryota; Metazoa; Chordata; Actinopteri; Cypriniformes; Cyprinidae
Exons: 2
Source: RefSeq, a predicted model, not a curated record
UGUGUGUGUGUUCAUGAAAGAGAGAGAGUGUGUGCGUGUACCCGUGUGUGUCUGUGUGUGUUUGUGUGUGAGUGUGUGAUCGUGGUGUUUCUUUUUUAAAUUAAGAAGAUUGUGCUGAAAUGUGUCUUUGCCCGUGUUAUAAAUCAUGUUAUUGUUUGACUUCUCAGGAUUUUGUGAAGAACAUUACUGGUAGUUCUGAGCAUUUCUGGAUUGGUUUGACUGAUAUUGAGGAGGAGGACAGAUGGAAAUGGGUUGAUGGCAGCAACAUCAACAUCACCUCUGGGUCCUGGGCGUCUGGAGAACCAAACAACAGUGAGGGAAAAAAGUAGUGUUAAAUGGAUCUGUGAGAAGAGUAUUCUUAAAUGAUACAUUAUAAUAAAAAUGUACAUGUACAUCAUGAACGUAUAAAUGUCAGUAAUUUUACCUGUUUUUUUUUUUUAUGGCACAUUAAUUAGGUUAUUCUGUAAAAACAAAUAAAAAAUAAAUAGAAAAAAAACAUUGUAAUAUUAAAAUUUUCAUAUAAAACAUUUUAAAAUCAUUUUAUUUUGAAUUUUUUAGAUCUGAACUAAAAUCUGAAUGUGAAAAACAACAGUGAUGUUUCUACAGACUGAAAUAAAAUCAGUAAUACACUGAUAUAAUAGAAAUAUUCAUAAAAACAGCAUUGAUCCAAUAUUCUUAACCAAAAUGAUCAUGAUUUUAGGAGUAUUACUCAGUACAUCAGUAAAGUUUGAUUUGAAAUGUGACUCUUGCAGCUUUUUUGUAAUUACAGUAUGACAAUAAACAUGAUUUACUUGUUUUCAAAAA